GCCGGGUGCGGUGGCAUGUGCCUGUAAUCCAAGUCACUGGGAGGCUGAGGUUGGUGGCUCAAGUGAGCUGAGGAGCUCUGGGCUGCAGCACACUAUGUGGAACGGGUGUCCACGCUAAGUUCGGUAUCGAUAUGGUGUUCCUGGGGGAGCCCGGGACCACCAGGUUGUCUAAGGAGGGGUGAACCGGCCCAGGUCGGAAACGAAGCAGGUCAAAUCCCCCGUGCUGUCCAGUAGUGGGAUAAUACCUGUGAGUAGAUGCUGCAGUGCAGCCUUGGCGAAACAUCGAGACCUAAUCUUUC
This 299-nucleotide signal recognition particle RNA is filed under the name Oncorhynchus kisutch (coho salmon). RNAcentral's name for it is "Metazoan signal recognition particle RNA (ENSOKIG00005032796.1)". It matches the Rfam family "Metazoan signal recognition particle RNA". Rfam says of the family: The signal recognition particle (SRP) is a universally conserved ribonucleoprotein. It is involved in the co-translational targeting of proteins to membranes. Lineage: Eukaryota; Metazoa; Chordata; Actinopteri; Salmoniformes; Salmonidae. The record is from Rfam by way of RNAcentral.